This is a non-coding RNA of Branchiostoma floridae (Florida lancelet), 83 nucleotides long. The record is from Rfam. NCBI's taxonomy places the organism in Eukaryota, Metazoa, Chordata, Leptocardii, Amphioxiformes, Branchiostomatidae.
ACCAGGAUGGCCGAGUGGUUAAGGCGUUGGACUUAAGUUCCAAUGGACGUAUGUCUUCGUGGGUUCGAACCCCACUCCUGGUA